GUUUAAAGCUGGUGCAGUGCUACAUUAUGAUCUAACAAAUAGCAUAACCCACAUUGCAACAGAAAAGUUAAUACUGGCCAAAUGCAAAAGAAAUAAACUUAACACAUUACAAUUGUCUCAAGUGUUCAAAAAAGAACAUUUCAUUAGUAUUGUUUAAUGGAUCAAAGCAGGGCUACUGCAAACAAGACCAAUUGGUGAGUGCACAUAUUUAAAAGUCGCUGACAGCACUUCAUGCAUAUAGGAGUGAUAUGUGGAGGUUGUUUGGCCUUGAUGUCUGUAAAGUAGUAGCUCCCCAAGAAUUUUAGUCUUGGGGAGUUUUUGGUUCAGUACUGAUAUCAGAAUUCCCAUAGACUUUGAAUGCACCACACCUGCACAGCAGUUAGUCACGGCUCCUCCCUGCUCAGAGCUAGCGUGCUUUUCUUUUAAGGCCUUGGUCUGCAUGGAGAGAGAAACAGGAGAUGUAAUCGGUUGAGCAGGAAGAUUUGCUGUAUUAUUGUGUUGAAGAAUAUCCUGGCUGUUUUUUUUUUUACAUAGUUGCAGAAUCUGCUGUUACAGCUGAGCGGUUCAUUGUAUGGACUGGACUAGACUCCACCAGAGAUGUUGAUGCAGAAUGUUCCCAAUGUGAAUGCCAUCCGGUUCCCUGGAGGGUGACGCUGUUCUUCUGGAGUUUCCGUAGACAAGUGUCUCUGAUGUGCGCACGGCCAUCAGACGAAAAUGUAACAAUGAGCAGUUCAGCCAAAAAAA
This is a long non-coding RNA of Cyprinodon tularosa, 744 nucleotides long. RefSeq lists it as uncharacterized. NCBI's taxonomy places the organism in Eukaryota, Metazoa, Chordata, Actinopteri, Cyprinodontiformes, Cyprinodontidae. The record is from RefSeq and is a predicted model, not a curated record. The transcript has 4 exons.